AGUGAACGCUGGCGGUAGGCCUAACACAUGCAAGUCGAACGGCAGCACAGUAAGAGCUUGCUCUUACGGGUGGCGAGUGGCGGACGGGUGAGGAAUACAUCGGAAUCUACUUUUUCGUGGGGGAUAACGUAGGGAAACUUACGCUAAUACCGCAUACGACCUACGGGUGAAAGCAGGGGAUCUUCGGACCUUGCGCGAUUGAAUGAGCCGGUGUCGGAUUAGCUAGUUGGCGGGGUACAGGCCCACCAAGGCGACGAUGCGUAGCUGGUCUGAGAGGAUGAUCCGCCACUGGAACUGAGACACGGUCCAGACUCCUACGGGAGGCAGCAGUGGGGAAUAUUGGACAAUGGGCGCAAGCCUGAUCCAGCCAUACCGCGUGGGUGAAGAAGGCCUUCGGGUUGUAAAGCCCUUUUGUUGGGAAAGAACAGCAGCAGGUUAAUACCCCGCUGUUCUGACGGUACCCAAAGAAUAAGCACCGGCUAACUUCGUG
Molecule: ribosomal RNA, 490 nt
Filed under: uncultured bacterium
Lineage: Bacteria
Description: partial 16S ribosomal RNA
Rfam family: Bacterial small subunit ribosomal RNA
Source: RNAcentral